CCUUGAUACAAUCCGUACUCACUCAGUUACUCUAUGCAUGUCUUCAAAUAUAUUACACUUUUUUCCUCUUCAAAUGUUUCUGUUUAUGGUUCUUUUUCUUGCUUUGUUUUUUCAUCUUCUUUGCUUUUCUUCCUCGUACCUUCUCUUUAUCUCUUUGCAUUUUUGCUGCUUCGAGUUGAGUGUAUUGCCCUGUGCUUUUUCUGGACCGAAUUGUCCCUCCUCAGAGGUGAAGAAAAUGAUUCUCACUAAGCAGUAUCGAUGUGUACAUUCAGCAAGCUGUCAAUGCACCAAGGGACAUUUAAGUGAAGAUGUGAUAUUCUUGGUGUUUCAGCAUUUGAAUUGGAACCCCAAUCUAAUUGCUACACUGUCGUGUGCAUGCAAAUGGUUUGAUGAUAUUGCAAAGAGAGUUUUAUGGAAAGAGUUCUGCAGAACAAGAGCUCCUAAGAUGAUGCUUGAUCUGCAAUCCAGUGGAAGUCACAGUGCAGAUGGGAACUGGAGGGCUCUGGGGAAGCUUCUCAUAUUCUGUUCUGGUUGCACACAAGGUGGUUUGUUCGAUAAUGUUGAGGUUCCUGGUCAUUUUGUUAACAAGACUCGGUUUUCUAAAACACUAGGAAAGAGCUUUCUCAUGCCACAGUGUCUGAAUGAUGUUUUGUAUGUGUCUGAGCCUUGUGAGCAUAUUGAUCAAGGUGAAGCUGGUGAUUUAGGAUUCUUCCGAGGAAUUUUCAAGUCGUUUGCAUCAUCAAACGUUAAGAAGAUGAUAGUUAACAGAGGUGCACAGCUCCAUCCAACCGAGAUUUGCCCCUAUUGUAAGGCUAAGUUGUGGAGUAUGCUACAGGCCAAUAUGAUUCCACAAACUGCUAAGUGCAGGUUGGGUUCCAAUAAAGAUUAUAUUGAGUAUUAUGUCUGCCUAAAUGGUCACUUGCUUGGGGUCUGCACAUUGUUACCACUGUCUGAUUCAGAGGAUGUAUCUGAAAAUGAGUAAGAUAUCAAUGAUUCUCAGUUGUUAUUCAAUCUUAACAUGAAAUUUCGCUGAGCGCAGUGCUGUUUGCUCAAGGGUGAAAUUGUGCUCAGCAACAGCUAUAAGUCUCAUUUUGAUUCAAACCUCUACAUUGCAUUAUGCUUCAUGCUGCUGUCUCAACUCAUGCCAGCAUUUUCCACUGAUUAUAAAUAUCGCCAACAUUAUUUUUAAUAAAUCAAAUAGAAGAUUCAUUUGAAGAGAAUUUUUGUGCUCCACUCUUCGAAGUCCACCUGUGAGUAAAAGAGUAUACUAAAAAAGUUGUGCUCUUAGUCCACAUACUUUCAGUCAAACAUGGACAACAUCUCUAUGUUUUUUUUUUCAGACAAGAACAGAGUCUUUGUAUUAUUAUACUGAUAAAUUUAACUAUGAAAUUAACUGAAAUCAGAAAAUAAAAAUAAUAGAAAAGUAUAAAAUUAUAAAUCAAUAAUUAAAGAAGGUAAGAAAGUGAGAUAUAACGUAUUUUUCACUCGACACAUUUCACCUAAAAUCAUGAAAACUUUUAACAUGACAAUGACUGCAUGGACAUAGUUGAAACUGCACUGAAUCUGUCAAAUAAAACUAAUUUUACGUACCGAUUCUGAUCAAUGCCCAUUUUAUCAAACAUUAUGCCAUAAAUAUACGCAUCUGACAUUAAUGUUACCAAUUACAGG
This is an RNA transcript of Vigna radiata var. radiata (mung bean), 1668 nucleotides long. It is a transcript of the gene named EID1-like F-box protein 2, with no coding region annotated. The record is from RefSeq and is a predicted model, not a curated record. NCBI's taxonomy places the organism in Eukaryota, Viridiplantae, Streptophyta, Magnoliopsida, Fabales, Fabaceae. The transcript is spliced from 4 exons.